RNAcentral lists this ribosomal RNA (465 nucleotides) under Vreelandella stevensii. Its description in RNAcentral is "partial 16S ribosomal RNA". It matches the Rfam family "Bacterial small subunit ribosomal RNA", at positions 338 to 795 of the family's 1533-position model. The record is from RNAcentral. Lineage: Bacteria; Pseudomonadati; Pseudomonadota; Gammaproteobacteria; Oceanospirillales; Halomonadaceae.
CCUACGGGUGGCUGCAGUGGGGAAUAUUGGACAAUGGGCGAAAGCCUGAUCCAGCCAUGCCGCGUGUGUGAAGAAGGCCUUCGGGUUGUAAAGCACUUUCAGUGGGGAAGAAAGCCUUGGGGCUAAUACCCUCGAGGAAGGACAUCACCCACAGAAGAAGCACCGGCUAACUCCGUGCCAGCAGCCGCGGUAAUACGGAGGGUGCGAGCGUUAAUUGGAAUUACUGGGCGUAAAGCGCGCGUAGGCGGUCUGAUAAGCCGGUUGUGAAAGCCCCGGGCUCAACCUGGGAACGGCAUCCGGAACUGUCAGGCUAGAGUGCAGGAGAGGAAGGUAGAAUUCCCGGUGUAGCGGUGAAAUGCGUAGAGAUCGGGAGGAAUACCAGUGGCGAAGGCGGCCUUCUGGACUGACACUGACGCUGAGGUGCGAAAGCGUGGGUAGCAAACAGGAUUAGAUACCCCGGUAGUC